UCUGGAGCGGGCUAGCGUUGCUCGGAAUUACUGGGCGUAAAGCGCACGUAGGCGGAUUGUUAAGUCGGGGGUGAACUCCGGGGGCUCAACCCCGGAAUGGCCUCCGAUACUGGCAAUCUUGAGGUCGGGAGAGGUGAGUGGAACGGCGGGUGUAGAGGUGAAAUUCGUAGAUAUUCGCCGGAACACCGGUGGCGAAGGCGGCUCACUGGCCCGAUACUGACGCUGAGGUGCGACAGCGUGGGGAGCAAACAGG
Molecule: ribosomal RNA, 253 nt
Filed under: uncultured bacterium
Lineage: Bacteria
Description: partial 16S ribosomal RNA
Rfam family: Bacterial small subunit ribosomal RNA
Source: RNAcentral